GCUAGUGUAGCUUAAAUCAAAGCAUAACACUGAAAGAUGUUAAGAUGAAUCCUAAAAAAGAUUCCACAGGCA
Molecule: transfer RNA, 72 nt
Filed under: Tachysurus eupogon (shorthead catfish)
Lineage: Eukaryota; Metazoa; Chordata; Actinopteri; Siluriformes; Bagridae
Description: tRNA-Phe
Source: RNAcentral